GUCGACGGUACAGGAAACAGCUUGCUGUUUCGCUGACGAGUGGCGGACGGGUGAGUAAUGUCUGGGAAACUGCCUGAUGGAGGGGGAUAACUACUGGAAACGGUAGCUAAUACCGCAUAACGUCGCAAGACCAAAGAGGGGGACCUUCGGGCCUCUUGCCAUCGGAUGUGCCCAGAUGGGAUUAGCUUGUUGGUGGGGUAACGGCUCACCUAGGCGACGAUCCCUAGCUGGUCUGAGAGGAUGACCAGCCACACUGGAACUGAGACACGGUCCAGACUCCUACGGGAGGCAGCAGUGGGGAAUAUUGCACAAUGGGCGCAAGCCUGAUGCAGCCAUGCCGCGUGUAUGAAGAAGGCCUUCGGGUUGUAAAGUACUUUCAGCGGGGAGGAAGGGAGUAAAGUUAAUACCUUUGCUCAUUGACGUUACCCGCAGAAGAAGCACCGGCUAACUCCGUGCCAGCAGCCGCGGUAAUACGGAGGGUGCAAGCGUUAAUCGGAAUUACUGGGCGUAAAGCGCACGCAGGCGGUUUGUUAAGUCAGAUGUGAAAUCCCCGGGCUCAACCUGGGAACUGCAUCUGAUACUGGCAAGCUUGAGUCUCGUAGAGGGGGGUAGAAUUCCAGGUGUAGCGGUGAAAUGCGUAGAGAUCUGGAGGAAUACCGGUGGCGAAGGCGGCCCCCUGGACGAAGACUGACGCUCAGGUGCGAAAGCGUGGGGAGCAACAGGAUUAGAUACCCUGGUAGUCCACGCCGUAACGAUGUCGA
RNAcentral lists this ribosomal RNA (761 nucleotides) under Escherichia coli. RNAcentral's name for it is "bacterial SSU rRNA". It matches the Rfam family "Bacterial small subunit ribosomal RNA", at positions 61 to 815 of the family's 1533-position model. Lineage: Bacteria; Pseudomonadati; Pseudomonadota; Gammaproteobacteria; Enterobacterales; Enterobacteriaceae. The record is from RNAcentral.